This 497-nucleotide ribosomal RNA is filed under the name uncultured bacterium. Its description in RNAcentral is "partial 16S ribosomal RNA". It matches the Rfam family "Bacterial small subunit ribosomal RNA", at positions 28 to 507 of the family's 1533-position model. The record is from RNAcentral.
GAUGAACGCUGGCGGCGUGCCAAAUACAUGCAAGUCGAGCGAACAGACGAGGAGCUUGCUCCUCUGACGUUAGCGGCGGAUGGGUGAGUAACACGUGGAUAACCUACCUAUAAGACUGGGAUAACUUCGGGAAACCGGAGCUAAUACCGGAUAAUAUAUUGAACCGCAUGGUUCAAUAGUGAAAGCCGGUUUUUCUGUCACUUAUAGAUGGUUCCGCGCCGCAUUAACUAGUCGGUAAGCUAACGGCUUACAAAGGCAACCGUGCGUCACCAAGCUGAGAGGCUCGUAGAGCACUGUGAUAAUCAGACACGGCCCCGACUCCUACGGCAGGCAACAGGAGGGAGUCAUACACGAUAGGCGAAAGCCUAGCGGAGGACUGCCGCGUGAGUGAUAAAGGUCUUCGAAUCGUAAAGCUCUGUUAUGAUUGAAGAACGGAUGUGUAAAUAACUAUGCACGUCUUGACGGUACCUACUCAGAAAGCCGCGGCUAAAUACGUG